UCAAUGUAUACAAUAGAACAAUAUCAAUUUAAUAAUUAAUAUGUAAGUUAUAUAACGAUCGAAUAUAAAAUAUGUUCAGCUCGAAAGCCGUGUCAGAGUCAGAUUUGGGUUUGUAGCCUGACUACCAGAGCUCUUAAUAAAAGCAUCUGCAGAUAAUCAUAUCUGUGAUUAUUUGUAUUCCUGAACGCUGACAGGACAAGUGAAAGGAGAGCUCCACGGUCUGUCACCUCCUGGCCAAAUCCACGGGUGAGGAGCAGCCAGUGCCAGGCCUGGGACACGGAAAUGCCAGGCUUGGGACAUGGAAAUGCCAGGCCUGGGACAUGGAACUGCCAGGCUUGGGACAUGGAAAUGCCAGGCUUGGGACAUGGAAAUGCCAGGCCUGGGACAUGGAAAUGCCAGACCUGGGACAUGGAAAUUCCAGGCCUGGGACACGGAAGUGCCAGGCCUGGGACAUGGAAAUGCCAGGCCUGGGACAUGGAAGUGCCGGGCCUGGGACAUGGAAAUGCCAGGCCUGGGACAUGGAAGUGCCAGGCCUGGGACAUGGAAAUGCCGGGCCUGGGACAUGGAAAUGCCAGGCCUGGGACAUGGAAAUGCCAGGCCUGGGACAUGGAAAUGCAUCUUCUCUGGCCAGGAUGGAGAGCAGCAAACUCUGCUGCCAUGGUUACGGAGCAGCAACCCAUCAGGCCCCAUCUCGCAUCGCUAACUCUGCCACUUAAUUAACUGACUGCUCGUUAUUUCCCCAAAUGAGCUCCUCCGUCCUCCCGCUCGCCUGAAAUGCAGCUUUCAGAUGCUGUUCAAGCAGUGGUCUCGCUCCAACAUCCUGUGUUUCAUUUAAAACUCAGCAAGGAGUAGAAAGAGCUGGGGAGCAGCCCCAGGACUGAGGGAGGGCUCCAAGGGGAAGUUUUCCUUUAGGGAUGAAGUCAAUAGGAUCACAUCCACCCGGCUCAGCACAGAACUGUGGCUUUUGAUUUCCAACACCCCUGGCUUCAGACUUGUGCCAUCCAAAGGUCUCUGGGCUCUGUCCUCCCAUUAUCUGCACACAUGGCAGGGUCACUCUGGGAUGGACAGGGCUAUAAUUAGUGGUGUUCAUAAAAAGUUACUCCAGUCUGGGCUGAUAUUUCUGCACCUUUCUCCAGGCAGGGAGUUCACUCUGCUGAAGCACCAGGCUGUGUGUGCAGUGCUCUGAACUCCUGCUGAGGAGGAGUUUGGGAGAGACCUGAAGGGUUUACAUUGGGAUAUCUUGUCUGCUGUGGAUAAAAAUCCAGAGUAUCCCCAUGCUAUGGGGUGAAGGAGGGAAAGGAUGCUGUCCAAGGCCUGGCAGGGGGAUGGUUUUCUGUUUUCUCAUCAAAAACUCACUCUAAUCUUACCUGUUUUCUGUUCCCUACACCUUCACAUCUAACAUGCCCUCACUCCUUGCAAACCAGCCUUUGCCAUGUGACUGCCAGCAUCUCCUCCUGACCCUUAAUCUCCCCCCGCUGCUGCUGCCUCACAUUAACAUCUCCCAUCUGAGGCUGAACAAAUCCACACACCAGAAAAAAAAAAAAAAGAAAAAAAAAAAAAA
This is a long non-coding RNA of Taeniopygia guttata (zebra finch), 1561 nucleotides long. The record is from Ensembl. Lineage: Eukaryota; Metazoa; Chordata; Aves; Passeriformes; Estrildidae.